This 253-nucleotide ribosomal RNA is filed under the name uncultured bacterium. RNAcentral describes it as "partial 16S ribosomal RNA". It matches the Rfam family "Bacterial small subunit ribosomal RNA", at positions 524 to 776 of the family's 1533-position model. The record is from RNAcentral.
UACGUAGGUGGCAAGCGUUGUCCGGAGUUACUGGGUGUAAAGGGCGUGUAGGCGGGAAAGUAAGUCAGAUGUGAAAUUCCAUGGCUCAACUGUGGCGCUGCAUCUGAAACUAUUUUUCUUGAGUGCUGGAGAGGAAAGCGGAAUUCCUAGUGUAGCGGUGAAAUGCGUAGAUAUCAGGAGGAACACCUGUGGCGAAAGCAGCUCGCUGGGACGGUACUGACGCUGAGGCGCGAAAGCGUGGGGAGCGAACAGG